RNAcentral lists this ribosomal RNA (497 nucleotides) under uncultured bacterium. Its description in RNAcentral is "partial 16S ribosomal RNA". It matches the Rfam family "Bacterial small subunit ribosomal RNA", at positions 28 to 507 of the family's 1533-position model. The record is from RNAcentral.
GAUGAACGCUGGCGGCGUGCCUAAUACAUGCAAGUCGAGCGAACAGAUGAGGAGCUUGCUCCUCUGACGUUAGCGGCGGACGGGUGAGUAACACGUGGAUAACCUACCUAUAAGACUGGGAUAACUUCGGGAAACCGGAGCUAAUACCGGAUAAUAUAUUGAACCGCAUGGUUCAAUAGUGAAAGACGGUUUUGCUGUCACUUAUAGAUGGUUUCGCGCCGCAUUAGCUAGUUGGUAAGGUAACGGCUUACCAAGGCAACGAUGCGUAGCCGACCUGAGAGGGUGAUCGGCCACACUGGAACUGAGACACGGUCCAGACUCCUACGGGAGGCAGCAGUAGGGAAUCUUCCGCAAUGGGCGAAAGCUUGACGGAGCAACGCCGCGUGAGUGAUGAAGGUCUUCGGAUCGUAAAACUCUGUUAUUAGGAAAGAACAAAUGUGUAAGUAACUAUGCACGUCUUGACGGUACCUAAUCAGAAAGCCACGGCUAACUACGUG